GAAGUAUUACAAGUCAUCUUCGGAGAUAAAGUGUAAGGACGGAUCAAAGAAAUUCACAAAAGCUCAACUUAAUGACGAUUUCUGUGAUUGUUCUGAUGGAACUGACGAGCCAGGUACCUCAGCUUGCCCAAAUGGGAAAUUCUAUUGUCGAAACGCAGGCCACUCUCCAUUAGUUUUGUUUUCUUCCAGAGUCAAUGAUGGUAUUUGUGAUUGUUGUGAUGGAAGUGAUGAAUAUGAUGGUCAAGUGACAUGU
Non-coding RNA from Camelina sativa (false flax), 253 nucleotides. The record is from RefSeq and is a predicted model, not a curated record. NCBI's taxonomy places the organism in Eukaryota, Viridiplantae, Streptophyta, Magnoliopsida, Brassicales, Brassicaceae.